UGGUAGACUGUGGAACGUAGG
This 21-nucleotide microRNA is filed under the name Sus scrofa (pig). RNAcentral's name for it is "ssc-mir5". The record is from RNAcentral. Lineage: Eukaryota; Metazoa; Chordata; Mammalia; Artiodactyla; Suidae.